Rhipicephalus sanguineus (brown dog tick) is the source of this 2043-nucleotide long non-coding RNA. RefSeq lists it as uncharacterized. The record is from RefSeq and is a predicted model, not a curated record. The transcript is spliced from 2 exons. NCBI's taxonomy places the organism in Eukaryota, Metazoa, Arthropoda, Arachnida, Ixodida, Ixodidae.
CAAUGAUUCAGCAUUUCGAGAGUCCUUGCCGUCAUGAGAAAGAUUGGGCCAAUUAAUGCUGGGCAAGUUGAAAUCCCCAGUUAUAAGAAUGUUUGAACGCGAAUUUGUAUUUUGUAGCAGGUAAUCGUAGAGUGCUUCUAAGUAUUCUGGAGGUGCGUUUGGAGGCCGAUAGACACCUCCCAAAAUUAUAUUCUUACGAAAAAAAUUCAGUUUGCACCACACGCUUUCGUGAUUAUCUAUACCAUCCAAGCGAGUAAAUUUAACAUUGUUUUUAAUCGCAACUGCAACGCCCCCUCCCCGUGAUCCUCUGUCCCUACGGAUAAGGGUGUAAGAUGAUGGCACUAUUUCAGAAUUUUGAACUUCAGAAUGCAGCCAGGUUUCUGUGAUCACCAAAACGUGUGGUUGGUAAGUUGAAAUUAUAUCUUCAAGAAGCUGUAUCUUAUUCAAGACACUUCGUGCAUUAAGUGAAAUAAUCCGAAGCGUUUUGUUAGCUUGUCACUUGUUAUCGCGUUUACGAGCGGUUGCCCGAGUGAAGCGAGAAGUCAACUUUUCGGGUUGCGCAGACGCAGUGGAUUGAGACAGCUCUGUCCUGCAAUUACGAAGUGCGUCCCACACAUACAGUUUGCCAUCAACUUUUAGUUUAUCGAAAACAAGCGAAACUUUAGAACCGGUCUUUCUUUCUUCAAGGGUGGAACGCCACAACUUUGCACGAGUAUCGCGAAUAUUUUUAGAAAAGUCUUCCGAUAUGGAUAUUUCGGUUCCUUUUAAUUUGAAACAGGAUGACAAUACCUUAGUUUUAUCAGCGUAGUUAUAGAGUUUCAAAAUUACCGGUCGAGGGCGCUGUGCGUUCCUUUGACCGAUUCGAUGUAUUCGCUCUAUGGAAUUGAUUUCAACACCCAGAAUUUUUCUGAAGAUAUCGCCAUUUACUUUCUGUUCUAGUUCUUUUGAAUCUUCCCCAUGUUUUUCUUCUACACCAUAAACUAAAAGGUUAUUACGACGACUCCUAUUUUCGAGAUCAUCGACUUUUGCUCUUAACUCAAGAAUUAUCUUGUCAGUACUCUGACAAGUUUCUUCCACCUUCUCCAAUCUUUGCUCGCAUUUCUCAGUUCGACCGAGCUCUUGCUCAAGAUUGGUAAUCCGAGUUUGAAUGUCCGCGACUGUUGACUCUACCUGUUUCAGGUUAGUAGUUAAUGCGACAAGAGUUUUAUUUGUCUUUGUUUGUUCUUUCAAGAUUUUUUUGAGUAAUUCACUGUUUAGAUGUGCCUCUGACUCUGAGUCCGAAGAGGGACCGGGGUUUAGUUCUAUAUCUCCGGAAGUUAGUAGCAUCAAACGUAUUACAUCAUAACAGUCACACAAUAAACCGAGCAGACACUGUGGGCUUGGCAACACUGUCAGCGUGAGUGAGUCGUCUUUGAUAGAGGAAACUAAGUAUUUGUCACCAACCUGGACAAAGAAAAUCGGCGUAAGCAUCCUUCUGCCAGCAGUGUCACCAAGCCCACUGAAAGGAUCUUCCAACGGGCUCCGGUAUUUAUGCUUGAAAUUAUCGGCACUGGAUGAUGUCACGGAGUUGAUUCGAUGAUAUGCCUGGCUUAAGUAGGGCGCAGGUUCGUGAUGAAUCCAUGGCGGUGCUGCGGUGACGAAGUCCGUCUGCGCAUGCUCCCUGUCUUCCGGCGCGUGACCGUCAGAGGAAGCCCGCACGAAGGCAUGGCCGCGGAGUGCAGGUCGCGCGAAGGCAAGGCCAGUUGAUCCAACGGCGAAAUAGGCCUGCCAGGCGAUCUGGACAAAGAAAAUCGGCGUAAGCAUCCUUCUGCCAGCAGUGUCACCAAGCCCACUGAAAGGAUCUUCCAACGGGCUCCGGUAUUUAUGCUUGAAAUUAUCGGCACUGGAUGAUGUCACGGAGUUGAUUCGAUGAUAUGCCUGGCUUAAGUAGGGCGCAGGUUCGUGAUGAAUCCAUGGCGGUGCUGCGGUGACGAAGUCCGUCUGCGCAUGCUCCCUGUCUUCCGGCGCGUGACCGUCAGAGGAAGCCCGCACGAAGGCAUGGCC